RNAcentral lists this ribosomal RNA (207 nucleotides) under uncultured bacterium. RNAcentral describes it as "partial 16S ribosomal RNA". It matches the Rfam family "Bacterial small subunit ribosomal RNA", at positions 568 to 774 of the family's 1533-position model. The record is from RNAcentral.
CGCGUAGGUGGUUUGUUAAGUCGGGUGUGAAAGCCCCGGGCUCAACCUGGGAAUUGCAUUCGAUACUGGCAGACUAGAGUAUGGUAGAGGGAAGCGGAAUUCCGGGUGUAGCGGUGAAAUGCGUAGAUAUCCGGAGGAACACCAGUGGCGAAGGCGGCUUCCUGGACCAAUACUGACACUGAGGUGCGAAAGCGUGGGUAGCAAACA